GCUUUUUCCAUGCAUGUCAGCAUUAGGGUUUUAAACCCUAAACUGAACUCUUUCCUUUAGUCAGCAUUAGGGUUUUAACCCUAAACUGAACUUUUUCCUUUAAUCAGCAUUAGGGUUUUAAACCCUAAACUGAACUUUUUCUUUAGUCAGCAUUAGGGUUUUAAAACCCUAAACUGAAUUUUCCUUUGGUCAGCACUAGGGUUUUAAACCCUAAACUGAAGUUUUUCCCAGUUGGUCAGUAUUAGAUUUUCAACUCUAAACUGAACCUUUCCCCAGCUAGACGAUAUCAGGGCUCCAACCCUGAACUGAGCAUGCAUAUCCUCCUUCAUCAAUUUUAUGAACUUCCUGGCGAAUAAUUCACGAAAUUUCCUAGUGAAACUGGGGCAGAAAAUUUCGUUCAUUUGUUUUUCUCGAAGGUCUAACCUCGAGCCACACGGAUCGAAACGACCCACAAGAUGAGUCUCAACUCAGAAUCUAAGAAGAAAAAGAAAAAAAAGAUGUCCCGAGACACCGGAGAAAAUAGAAGGCGGAUCGCUCCAAGAUUUGAUCAAGGUCCCGAGUUCUACCAACCCCGCCAUAUUCAGUAUCGCAGA
This 593-nucleotide long non-coding RNA is filed under the name Nicotiana tabacum (common tobacco). Its description in RNAcentral is "long non-coding RNA (NTAB_LNC005699)". Lineage: Eukaryota; Viridiplantae; Streptophyta; Magnoliopsida; Solanales; Solanaceae. The record is from RNAcentral.